RNAcentral lists this ribosomal RNA (497 nucleotides) under uncultured bacterium. Its description in RNAcentral is "partial 16S ribosomal RNA". It matches the Rfam family "Bacterial small subunit ribosomal RNA", at positions 28 to 507 of the family's 1533-position model. The record is from RNAcentral.
GAUGAACGCUGGCGGCGUGCCUAAUACAUGCAAGUCGAGCGAACGGACGAGAAGCUUGCUUCUCUGAUGUUAGCGGCGGACGGGUGAGUAACACGUGGAUAACCUACCUAUAAGACUGGGAUAACUUCGGGAAACCGGAGCUAAUACCGGAUAAUAUUUUGAACCGCAUGGUUCAAAAGUGAAAGACAGUCUUGCUGUCACUUAUAGAUGGAUCCGCGCUGCAUUAGCUAGUUGGUAAGGUAACGGCUUACCAAGGCAACGAUGCACAGCCGACCUGAGAGGGUGAUCGGCCACACUGGAACUGAGACACGGUCCAGACUCCUACGGGAGGCAGCAGUAGGGAAUCUUCCGCAAUGGGCGAAAGCCUGACGGAGCAACGCCGCGUGAGUGAUGAAGGUCUUCGGAUCGUAAAACUCUGUUAUUAGGGAAGAACAUAUGUGUAAGUAACUGUGCACAUCUUGACGGUACCUAAUCAGAAAGCCACGGCUAACUACGUG